RNAcentral lists this ribosomal RNA (375 nucleotides) under uncultured bacterium. RNAcentral describes it as "bacterial SSU rRNA". It matches the Rfam family "Bacterial small subunit ribosomal RNA", at positions 29 to 417 of the family's 1533-position model. The record is from RNAcentral.
AACGAACGCUGGCGGCAGGCCUAACACAUGCAAGUCGAACGCCGUAGCAAUACGGAGUGGCAGACGGGUGAGUAACGCGUGGGAACAUACCCCUCGGUUCGGAAUAACUCAGGGAAACUUGAGCUAAUACCGGAUACGUCCGAUGUUUUAAUCGACCUUGGAGAAAGAUUUAUCGCCGGAGGAUUGGCCCGCGUCUGAUUAGCUUGUUGGUGAGGUAAUGGCUCACCAAGGCGACGAUCAGUAGCUGGUCUGAGAGCAUGAUCAGCACAUUGGGACUGAGACACGGCCCAAACUCCUACGGGAGGCAGCAGUGGGGAAUAUUGGACAAGUGGGCGAAAGCCUGAUCCAGCCAUGCCGCGUGAGUGAUGACGGCCU